AUGCUGUUGCAUAUGUUUUUAGUGCAUUGCUAUGCUGUUGCAUAUGUUUGUAUCGCGUUGCUGUGGUGUUGCUAUGUUUGUAGCACGUUGCUGUGGUGUUGCUAUGUUUGUAGCACGUUGCUGUGGUGUUGCUAUGUUUGUAGCACGUUGCUGUGGUGUUGCAUAUGUUUGUAGCGCGUUGCUAUGAUGUUGCAUAUGUUUGUAGCGCAUUGUUGUGCUGUUGCAUAUGUUUGUAUCGCGUUGCUGUGCUGUUGCAUAUGUUUGUAGGUAGCGCGUUGUUGUGCUGUCAUAU
Molecule: long non-coding RNA, 292 nt
Filed under: Carassius auratus (goldfish)
Lineage: Eukaryota; Metazoa; Chordata; Actinopteri; Cypriniformes; Cyprinidae
Description: lncRNA (ENSCARG00000064774.1)
Source: RNAcentral